GAUCUUUUAGUAUAUUUAGUAUUUUUGACUUCCAAUCAAAGGGAAAAAAGAUUA
This 54-nucleotide transfer RNA is filed under the name Parastrongyloides trichosuri. Its description in RNAcentral is "tRNA-Gly". Lineage: Eukaryota; Metazoa; Nematoda; Chromadorea; Rhabditida; Strongyloididae. The record is from RNAcentral.